GAUGAACGCUGGCGGCGUGCCUAAUACAUGCAAGUCGAGCGAACAGACGAGGAGCUUGCUCCUCUGACGUUAGCGGCGGACGGGUGAGUAACACGUGGAUAACCUACCUAUAAGACUGGGAUAACUUCGGGAAACCGGAGCUAAUACCGGAUAAUAUAUUGAACCGCAUGGUUCAAUAGUGAAAGACGGUUUUGCUGUCACUUAUAGAUGGAUCCGCGCCGCAUUAGCUAGUUGGUAAGGUAACGGCUUACCAAGGCUACGAUGCGUAGCCGACCUGAGAGGGUGAUCGGCCACACUGGAACUGAGACACGGUCCAGACUCCUACGGGAGGCAGCAGUAGGGAAUCUUCCGCAAUGGGCGAAAGCCUGACCGAGCAACGCCGCGUGAGUGAUGAAGGUCUUCGGAUCGUAAAACUCUGUUAUUAGGGAAGAACAAAUGUGUAAGUACCUAUGCACGUCUUGACGGUACCUAAUCAGAAAGCCACGGCUAACUACGUG
RNAcentral lists this ribosomal RNA (497 nucleotides) under uncultured bacterium. Its description in RNAcentral is "partial 16S ribosomal RNA". It matches the Rfam family "Bacterial small subunit ribosomal RNA", at positions 28 to 507 of the family's 1533-position model. The record is from RNAcentral.